RNAcentral lists this ribosomal RNA (695 nucleotides) under Bacillus pumilus. Its description in RNAcentral is "bacterial SSU rRNA". It matches the Rfam family "Bacterial small subunit ribosomal RNA", at positions 556 to 1249 of the family's 1533-position model. Lineage: Bacteria; Bacillati; Bacillota; Bacilli; Caryophanales; Bacillaceae. The record is from RNAcentral.
GGGCGUUAAGGGCUUCGCAGGCGGUUUUUUAAGUCUGAAUGUGAAAGCCCCCGGCUCAACCGGGGAGGGUCAUUGGAAACUGGGAAACUUGAGUGCAGAAGAGGAGAGUGGAAUUCCACGUGUAGCGGUGAAAUGCGUAGAGAUGUGGAGGAACACCAGUGGCGAAGGCGACUCUCUGGUCUGUAACUGACGCUGAGGAGCGAAAGCGUGGGGAGCGAACAGGAUUAGAUACCCUGGUAGUCCACGCCGUAAACGAUGAGUGCUAAGUGUUAGGGGGUUUCCGCCCCUUAGUGCUGCAGCUAACGCAUUAAGCACUCCGCCUGGGGAGUACGGUCGCAAGACUGAAACUCAAAGGAAUUGACGGGGGCCCGCACAAGCGGUGGAGCAUGUGGUUUAAUUCGAAGCAACGCGAAGAACCUUACCAGGUCUUGACAUCCUCUGACAACCCUAGAGAUAGGGCUUUCCCUUCGGGGACAGAGUGACAGGUGGUGCAUGGUUGUCGUCAGCUCGUGUCGUGAGAUGUUGGGUUAAGUCCCGCAACGAGCGCAACCCUUGAUCUUAGUUGCCAGCAUUCAGUUGGGCACUCUAAGGUGACUGCCGGUGACAAACCGGAGGAAGGUGGGGAUGACGUCAAAUCAUCAUGCCCCUUAUGACCUGGGCUACACACGUGCUACAAUGGACAGAACAAAGGGCUG